Zingiber officinale is the source of this 2161-nucleotide RNA transcript. It is a transcript of the gene named B2 protein-like, with no coding region annotated. The record is from RefSeq and is a predicted model, not a curated record. Lineage: Eukaryota; Viridiplantae; Streptophyta; Magnoliopsida; Zingiberales; Zingiberaceae. The transcript is spliced from 4 exons.
CGAAGCUUCCCCCAUUCUGCCGCUAUUUAAUCCAAAUCCGGAGACGAUCUCCCCAAUCCGAUCUUCGAUUUGUCACCUCGUUCUUCCCGAUCGAUCGAUUUUGUAGAGAAUCAUGGAGGCUCAGAGGAAUUUCCGUGAUCAGGCGUCGUUUUUGCAGUUCAGCGAUCAGCUACGGCUGCAGACCUCGGGUCUAGCCAAUCUCUCCAUUGGGGACAGCAUCUGGAGCGACUCCUUCGUCAAGCAGCAACCACUCAACUCCAAUUCUCCUUCUGAUCUCAACGGCGGGUGGAAGUCCGCGUUCGGAGGCUCCCAGAAGCUCGCCUUUGGCACCAGCAACUACGGCGUCAAUCGGUACAACAACGCCGACAACGGUAAGAGCGCCGAUGCCGGAGGCAAUAAGAGUUUGAGUUAUUUCGGCAGCGGAAAUUACAACGAUGGUGGGAACGGUGGGGUUAUUAAGAAUUAUUUCGACAAUAUGGCCGUCAAUAAGCCUGCUAAUAAGCUGGUGGGAGGGAAUGGGAAGAAGGGUAUCGCUAAUAGCAAUGAUGGAAGCAACGGUAAGAAGAAAAAGAACUCUAACAACAACAAUAGCAGCAGCAACAACAACAAUAAAGAGGCGGCGGUUGACAAGAGGUUUAAGACGCUGCCACCAUCGGAAGCUCUUCCAAGGAACGAGGCGAUCGGGGGUUACAUCUUCGUCUGUAACAACGACACCAUGGAGGAAAACCUCCGGAGGCAGCUGUUUGGUCUUCCAUCAAGAUAUAGGGAUUCAGUACGAGCAAUCACGCCAGGAUUACCUCUUUUCCUCUACAAUUACUCCACCCAUCAGCUUCAUGGAAUCUUUGAGUCAGCUAGCUUUGGAGGAACUAACAUUGAUCCCACCGCAUGGGAGGACAGGAAAGGCCCUGGAGAAUCCCGUUUCCCUGCUCAGGUAUCGUUAAACUUUCUUCAUUUACCUAAUCAUCUUUUGUUUUUAAACAACAAAGCUUGUAAAUAUGCAUACUGGCAUUUAAUAUCUAGCAAUUCUUGUGUAAGUCGAGCAAUGCUUGAUAGAAAUCUCAUUUUCUUUGCAAUAGAACACCGUGGUUCACAGAUUUGCUAACUUUGAACUGAUGUAGUUCAAAAUAUUCAUUAAUGGUAGUCAAAGAUGUUGUCUAAAGAUGGAUCCGUGUCUUUGACUGAUUCAUUUGCAAUGGAAAAUGGUAAUAGUGGAGAAAUUCCUAAUUAUGCGUUAGUGAUAUCUACUCAUGACAGCUUACUUGUUAUUCAGAUUAGUGGAAUCCAUCUAAGUUCGAUUUGCCAUCUGACUUGUACAACCAGGGAAACUGCUUGUAAUAUAUAAAUACCAAUUUUUGUUUUUGGAAUAAUAGGUCAGCCAAACAAUAUUUAGCAAAAAUGUGAUGGUUGUUGCUUGUUCUCAUCUCAUUGAAUGAACUGGUUACCUAUUCAAGCUUAUCAGCCUAUUCCACAACUAAUCCUACCAUCUUCUGAUCUGCCAAGACUUGGUCAUUAACGUGUUUUGGUCAGAUUAGUCAAACAAACAAUUGCGGUCUCCUUAAGCAUUGUUCCAUAACCAUUCGAUGGUCAAGAACAAAUGCGGCCACGUUAAGCAAUUACCAAAAAUCAACAAAUUUCAUGUUUCCAAUUAAUACUUGUUUCUCGGAUGUGUUACUGAAAGCAUGUGUACUAUCCGUCAUUGUUUCAUUAGGUAAGAGUCGUGACACGAAAGGUCUAUGAGCCAUUGGAAGAGGAUGCCUUCAGGCCCAUACUUCACCACUACGAUGGACCCAAGUUCCGGCUCGAACUCAAUGUGGAAGAGGCAUUGAAGCUCCUUGAUGUCUUCGCCCAGCAGGAUGCUUGAUUAGAGUAUAUUGACUAUGAACGAGAAGGCUAAAGGGAAAUCAAAAUAGAUAUUUAUAAAUUAGUACUUUGUAAUGUGGAAUAAAUCAAAGUUUUGUACUUCGUGUGCUCUUUGGGUCAGAAAAAAGAGUUGAACAAGAGCCGUAAACUUUGGGUUUUAGUGCUUUUACUAGGUCCUGUUCUGUAAAAUCAUGGAUGCAUGGACUUAGGACUUUCCUGUACUGAUGAUGGCACAUCAGAAUGCUUAAAAUGCUGAGUAAAUGUAAUUUACACAGUGAGAUAUUGAAGAAUUUAAAUGUCA